AAUGGCCGAAAGGCUGAACCAGUAACUUGGAAGAAUGUAAAUGUAUUCAAGAAAUACAAUAACGAUUAACUCGUAUAAAAUUCUAAAUAGGAUAAUGAUAAUGACAAUUUCCUAUUUAUAAGUCUUGACCAAAUUACGUGCCAGCAGUCGCGGUAAUACGUAGAAGACUAGUGUUAGUCAUCUUUAUUAGGUUUAAAGGGUACCUAGACGGUAAAUUAAACUCUAAAUGAGUACUUUUUUACUAGAGUUUUAUGUGAGAAGGAAGAACUUCUGGAGUAGGGAUAAAAUACGCAAAUACCAGAAGGACUGAUAACGGCGAAGGCGUCCUUCUAUGUAAAAA
This 340-nucleotide ribosomal RNA is filed under the name Eurotiomycetes DC485. RNAcentral's name for it is "SSU rRNA". It matches the Rfam family "Bacterial small subunit ribosomal RNA", at positions 370 to 739 of the family's 1533-position model. Lineage: Eukaryota; Fungi; Ascomycota; Eurotiomycetes. The record is from RNAcentral.